CUUUUACAUAUGCACCUGUAGGAAUAGUCAGCCAAGCCUAGAUUUCCCCUGAUCCAGCUCACAUGAGGCCAACAGGUGGUGUAGCUUUGCCUG
Molecule: long non-coding RNA, 93 nt
Organism: Ochotona curzoniae (black-lipped pika)
Lineage: Eukaryota; Metazoa; Chordata; Mammalia; Lagomorpha; Ochotonidae
Exons: 3
Source: RefSeq, a predicted model, not a curated record